This 304-nucleotide long non-coding RNA is filed under the name Lotus japonicus. RNAcentral's name for it is "long non-coding RNA (LJAP_LNC001946)". The record is from RNAcentral. Lineage: Eukaryota; Viridiplantae; Streptophyta; Magnoliopsida; Fabales; Fabaceae.
CUAUGGCAUUUUGCAAAUCAAUUUGUGACGCUUUACUUGAAGCAAUGCACCAUGUUGUUUUAUUUGACCUUGUUACAUUUGCUUUUGUAGUCAGAUCAACAGCACCUCGUCCAGUGAAAUCUAGAUUGUACACACUUGUCUGAUCCGGGUAAAAUAAUCCCCAAUUCCUCUCAGAUUCCAUACCAGGCUUUCUAUUUUCAUUGAACAAUGAGAAAAUGUAAACAUCAAGCUCCUCCCCAGGCUUUGCAGGAGUACCGGUGUUGUUGAUAACAUGCCUUAUCAGAUUAGUGUUAUAAGUUUGUGC